CCUACGGGAGGCAGCAGUGGGGAAUAUUGCACAAUGGGGGAAACCCUGAUGCAGCGACGCCGCGUGAGUGAAGAAGUAAUUCGGUAUGUAAAGCUCUAUCGGCAGGGAAGAAAAUGACGGUACCUGAGUAAGAAGCCCCGGCGAACUACGUGCCAGCAGCCGCGGUAAUACGGAGGGGGAAAGCGUUAUCCGGGUUUACGGGGUGUAAAGGGAGCGUAGACGGCAGUGCAAGUCUGGAGUGAAAGGCGGGGGCUCAACCCCCGGACUGCUCUGGAAACUGUACGGCUGGAGUGCAGGAGAGGUAAGUGGAAUUCCUAGUGUAGCGGUGAAAUGCGUAGAUAUUAGGAGGAACACCAGUGGCGAAGGCGGCUUACUGGACUGUAACUGACGUUGAGGCUCGAAAGCGUGGGGAGCAAACAGGAUUAGAUACCCUAGUAGUC
Molecule: ribosomal RNA, 440 nt
Filed under: uncultured bacterium
Lineage: Bacteria
Description: partial 16S ribosomal RNA
Rfam family: Bacterial small subunit ribosomal RNA
Source: RNAcentral